Molecule: long non-coding RNA, 953 nt
Filed under: Homo sapiens (human)
Lineage: Eukaryota; Metazoa; Chordata; Mammalia; Primates; Hominidae
Description: HSALNT0404743
Source: RNAcentral
UACAAUCCUAUUAUAUAUAAAAUCAGGUUUGAUAUUUUUUUCUAAUGAAAUGAUUUUGCCAGUAAUCAAAAACUUUAAAUUAGAAAAUGAAGAUCUGAGCAUCUUUAUUGGCAUAAUAAAACUUAACUCUCAUUGAAUUGAAGUGACUAUAACGAAGUAAGUAACACCACUGAAUAGUCCCUGACACAUGAAAGGUACACAAGUACUUUCUUAUUGCAAAUGUUUCUCUGCUUUAAAACUUUGGCUUUUUAAUUGUUGCUUUUAAAAACAGGGUUUACCUUAGUUUUAUUUUUUCAGAGUACCUUCAAGUUUAAAUCUAAGAGUGAUAUUCAUUUGGCAGAACAUCAUAAACAGGUUUUAUAUGAUGGGAAACUUGCAAGUAGCAUUGCCUUUACAUAUAAUUGCUAGGGCCACUGAUACUCAACUCUGCCUGGAAUCAUCACCAAAAGAGGAUGCAUCAAUUUUUGUGCAUUCCCAACAUGCUCUAAUGCUUCCGAUUCAAGUGCUUUUUCCACUGUUUCCCCAGUUGGAUAAUUGGCAGCUCAAUGACAGUCAAGUGGAAACAACUGUCUGGUAAGUUUUCUUUACAUGUACAAUUGCUGGUAUUUUAUACACACUUAGACUAUACAUGAUGUACUCAGUGCUGUGUAAAUGUAUUACAGUAUUUGGGUUCUGCCCUUAAAGUGCUAAUACAUUUUUUAGAACUAAUGCAGAUAGAUAUUUAUACAAUAAAUAAAGAAAACCCUGACAUUUAGGUUGUUAUACUAUAAAGGAAUGCCUUUUGUGACAAUAAAUAGAAAAUCCUUAACAAAGAUAGCAUAGUGAUUAUAAUAUACUAUGUUGAGGUAAAAUAUGAAUCCUGACCUUAUCAUUUGCAUAUACUCAUGGUUCGAAUUGUCCAUGAAACCCUGUCAGGUUGAAGAAAAUUACUAGGGUAAAAUUAUUCAGAAGAA